This 550-nucleotide ribosomal RNA is filed under the name uncultured bacterium. Its description in RNAcentral is "bacterial SSU rRNA". It matches the Rfam family "Bacterial small subunit ribosomal RNA", at positions 355 to 896 of the family's 1533-position model. The record is from RNAcentral.
UAGGGAAUCUUCGGCAAUGGACGGAAGUCUGACCGAGCAACGCCGCGUGAGUGAAGAAGGUUUUCGGAUCGUAAAGCUCUGUUGUAAGAGAAGAACGAGUGUGAGAGUGGAAAGUUCACACUGUGACGGUAUCUUACCAGAAAGGGACGGCUAACUACGUGCCAGCAGCCGCGGUAAUACGUAGGUCCCGAGCGUUGUCCGGAUUUAUUGGGCGUAAAGCGAGCGCAGGCGGUUAGAUAAGUCUGAAGUUAAAGGCUGUGGCUUAACCAUAGUACGCUUUGGAAACUGUUUAACUUGAGUGCAAGAGGGGAGAGUGGAAUUCCAUGUGUAGCGGUGAAAUGCGUAGAUGUAUGGAGGAACACCGGUGGCGAAAGCGGCUCUCUGGCUUGUAACUGACGCUGAGGCUCGAAAGCGUGGGGAGCAAACAGGAUUAGAUACCCUGGUAGUCCACGCCGUAAACGAUGAGUGCUAGGUGUUAGACCCUUUCCGGGGUUUAGUGCCGCAGCUAACGCAUUAAGCACUCCGCCUGGGGAGUACGACCGCAAGGUUG